This is a long non-coding RNA of Schistocerca gregaria, 301 nucleotides long. RefSeq lists it as uncharacterized. The transcript has 3 exons. NCBI's taxonomy places the organism in Eukaryota, Metazoa, Arthropoda, Insecta, Orthoptera, Acrididae. The record is from RefSeq and is a predicted model, not a curated record.
CAGAGAUCAUGUCCUUUACCAGAAAUUUCACAGUUUAUGGAUGGGUGUGACCCCAACAAUUAAUAAAUAUCUGCCUCUUACUGCUUCUCAGCAUGACAAAUAAUCGUCGAGCCAGAUACAAGAUGGCGCCACCAGUCACAAUCACUGCGAGCAGCAGGAAGGCGAUGACGUCGAGCAGGAGCAGCUGCCACCAGUGCAGGUCGAGGGCAGCACUGCGCAUGUGCGGGGCCCCCUUGUGACGUAUCACGUACUCCACCCACCACACGGCGCGCUCCACAGAGUCUGCUUGGUGCUCGCGAAA